This 410-nucleotide unclassified non-coding RNA is filed under the name Penicillium sicoris. RNAcentral's name for it is "sequence contains ITS1, 5.8S rRNA gene, ITS2". The stretch from base 200 to 353 matches the Rfam family "5.8S ribosomal RNA". The record is from RNAcentral. Lineage: Eukaryota; Fungi; Ascomycota; Eurotiomycetes; Eurotiales; Aspergillaceae.
CGUCAGGUACUGCGGAGGACAUUACUGAGUGAGGGCCCUCUGGGUCCAACCUCCCACCCGUGUUUAUUGUACCUUGUUGCUUCGGCGGGCCCGCCUUUAUGGCCGCCGGGGGGCUUACGCUCCCGGGCCCGCGCCCGCCGAAGACACCCUCGAACUCUGUCUGAAGAUUGUAGUCUGAGUGGAAUUAUAAAUUAUUUAAAACUUUCAACAACGGAUCUCUUGGUUCCGGCAUCGAUGAAGAACGCAGCGAAAUGCGAUACGUAAUGUGAAUUGCAGAAUUCAGUGAAUCAUCGAGUCUUUGAACGCACAUUGCGCCCCCUGGUAUUCCGGGGGGCAUGCCUGUCCGAGCGUCAUUGCUGCCCUCAAACACGGGUUGUGUGUUGGGCCCCGGGGCUCCGAUCCCGGGGGAC